AUGUCUUCAUCCCCCACUUCCUACUCCCUAUCCCCAUCCAACCUUCUGGUCACCUACGCUGCUUACCUCUGGAGAGGCCGUAGAGCAGUGGUUAAAAGCAUGACCUCUGGAUCUAGAGUGGCCUUGAAUCAUAUCUGUUUUUCAGGUUACCAGGUGCAAACCCCAGAGCUGGAAGCACAAUUUGAGAAUGCAGCAGCCAGCACAGUGCUCACCUCACAAUGGAUUCUUAGUAAAGAUUUAGAGACUGCUGAAUGAAUAUCCUGUGAUCCCUUACCUUACAAGCCAAGAGACACAAUACCCAGGCACACAAGACUCCUAAUGAACAUGGAAAGAGAACACACAGGUAAGUGUGCAAUGUGGUUCAGUAAGUGUUCAAAGACAAGAAAUAAAUAAGAGUUCAUAGAGUUUUAGAAGGCUUCG
Molecule: long non-coding RNA, 420 nt
Filed under: Piliocolobus tephrosceles (Ugandan red Colobus)
Lineage: Eukaryota; Metazoa; Chordata; Mammalia; Primates; Cercopithecidae
Description: lncRNA (ENSPTEG00000018213.1)
Source: RNAcentral